This 334-nucleotide ribosomal RNA is filed under the name uncultured eukaryote. RNAcentral describes it as "partial 18S ribosomal RNA". It matches the Rfam family "Eukaryotic small subunit ribosomal RNA", at positions 1470 to 1796 of the family's 1831-position model. The record is from RNAcentral.
CCCUUAGAUGUCCGGGGCCGCACGCGCGCUACACUGAAGGAAUCAGCGUGGCUUUCUCCCUGACCCGAAAGGGUUGGGAAACCCGUUGAAUCUCCUUCGUGAUAGGGAUUGGGGCUUGAAAUUGUUCCCCAUGAACGAGGAAUUCCCAGUAAGCACGAGUCAUAAGCUCGCGUUGAUUACGUCCCUGCCCUUUGUACACACCGCCCGUCGCUACUACCGAUUGAAUGGUUUAGUGAGAUCCUUGGAUCGGCCCUGUCGCGGCUGGCAACGGCCGCGUCGGCGCGUCGAGAAGACGAUCAAACUUGAUCAUUUAGAGGAAGUAAAAGUCGUAACA